This is a long non-coding RNA of Nematostella vectensis (starlet sea anemone), 801 nucleotides long. RefSeq lists it as uncharacterized. Lineage: Eukaryota; Metazoa; Cnidaria; Anthozoa; Actiniaria; Edwardsiidae. The transcript has 3 exons. The record is from RefSeq and is a predicted model, not a curated record.
GUCAUUGCUGAGUUUUUGACAAAAAUGGUUCUAGUUUAUCAAAAUGUCAAUCUCAAUUCGUUAGAAGACAUUCAGAAACUUUCUGUAAAGAGUCUUAGAGAUGUUUUACGUUCCUACAAAGAAAAUACGAGCGGCAUAAAGGCCGAUCUCGUCCUAAAAGUCUACGCGAUUCUUAUGUCACACGUGCUAGAUGGCGGGCCAAGCUCAACACAAGUUCAAAGUCAAACUGUUGGUAUCACCUUUGCCACAGACCAAAUGCAAGUGGGCUUUUUUGUGGGUACCAGGGGGUGAAGCUUGCGAGGCACAUCAAAAGGCAACAUUCCAAGGAAUCUGAAGUGGCCUGCCAGCUUGCAGGAACGAGUAAAAAGAACAAAGUAAAAGAACACGAAAGGCUCCGGCUCCUCGGUGAUUAUCACCACAAUUGCAAUGUCCUGAGCUUAGGCGAAGGACAACUGAUUGUGGUAUGCCUACCUCCCUUGUAAGUCGUGCCUUGGGUUUCACAAGGGGGACGACCUUUGGAGGCACAGAAAGAAGUGUGCGUUUAAACAGCAUGGGACAGACAAAGAAGCCAACCUAUAUACCAAAUCUGUAUACGGUGAAGUGAAUAAAUUGUAUUGUGAGCGUGACGAGGUCGGCUUCGUGGCCAAGCACGAUGAACUAAUAAUACAGAUGGGGAACUGCCUCUAUGAUCAGCAUGGCGAGAGGCAGGCUACUUAUAUGAGCACCAAAAUGCGGGAGAUAGCCAGAUUGGUGCUCGAGGUUAAAAUAAAUUAACCGAGCCAACAUGGCCUGACUGAACUC